GACGAACGCUGGCGGCGUGCCUAAUACAUGCAAGUUGAGCGCUGAAGGUUGGUACUUGUACCAACUGGAUGAGCAGCGAACGGGUGAGUAACGCGUGGGGAAUCUGCCUUUGAGCGGGGGACAACAUUUGGAAACGAAUGCUAAUACCGCAUAAAAACUUUAACACAAGUUUUAAGUUUGAAAGAUGCAAUUGCAUCACUCAAAGAUGAUCCCGCGUUGUAUUAGCUAGUUGGUGAGGUAAAGGCUCACCAAGGCGAUGAUACAUAGCCGACCUGAGAGGGGGAUCGGCCAAAUUGGGACUGAGACACGGCCCAAACUCCUACGGGAGGCAGCAGUAGGGAAUCUUCGGCAAUGGACGAAAGUCUGACCGAGCAACGCCGCGUGAGUGAAGAAGGUUUUCGGAUCGUAAAACUCUGUUGGUAGAGAAGAACGUUGGUGAGAGUGGAAAGCUCAUCAAGUGACGGUAACUACCCAGAAAGGGACGGCUAACUACGUG
This 496-nucleotide ribosomal RNA is filed under the name uncultured bacterium. Its description in RNAcentral is "partial 16S ribosomal RNA". It matches the Rfam family "Bacterial small subunit ribosomal RNA", at positions 28 to 507 of the family's 1533-position model. The record is from RNAcentral.